This is a long non-coding RNA of Pelobates fuscus (common spadefoot toad), 900 nucleotides long. RefSeq lists it as uncharacterized. Lineage: Eukaryota; Metazoa; Chordata; Amphibia; Anura; Pelobatidae. The record is from RefSeq and is a predicted model, not a curated record. The transcript has 3 exons.
UGAGGUCUACAAUUGAAUGCAUGUGAGUCGUAGGUCAGUGGGAUUGAAGGAAGCUCUCUCUCACCCUCUCUCGUCUGCUCUCUCUCUCUCUUUCUCUCACAUACACUCUCUCCCUCUGUCUCCCCCACAAGCCUAGCUCCAACUUUCAGCCUUUCAGCCUCAGUUCAACUUUUGCUCUCGGACCCUUGGUUGCUUUUUCUCUGGACUUGACCCUGUUUUGUAGUGACAACAGCUAAAGACAGAUGAAGUCACCUGGAGAUGAAGAAAGUGACUGCUCCCCGUCUGUUACCUCCACAUAAUCUGAAGUUUACUUGUGCAGUCUUUGGAAAAAAAUGUGAAGCCCCCGAUGAAGGAGUGCUUCAUUGCCGUCUUCACAAUGUGAUGUAUCGAGCUCAAGCAUCGUGUUCCAAGAGUUCUCAAGAGAAAAUGGAAGGCAAAUGUGAUUCCAGCUGCCUGCUAAUUUACAAUAACCAUAUUUAAGAUUUUGUGUCUUGUCUGUCUGUUAUUCUACUGUAUUUGAUUGUAAUGAUAUUGUAUGAAAAAUGCUAAAGAAAACCAAAACUCCAAACCACAUCACUUGUGACUGUCUCUAUUUUGCAGCAAAUCCACUUGAUGUUCUGGAAAUGCCUCUUAGCCAAUUCUAGAUCUCUUAUUGUUUCAUUAGGUGCUCUGUUUGCAUCCCCUUUGCAGUUCGUACACAGAUAGAUGUAUAUAUCCAUCCACCCACCCAUCCAACCAACUAACCAACCAACCAUCCAUCCACAUCACACAAUGAGAAAAAUUGAGCUAUCAGCACAGGCUUGAGAUGAGAACAAUUAAGACAAACGGAUGAUAAACUUAUAACUCUCAUCAGCCUAAAGUGGUCUAUAUUUUUCUCCCAUAUGCUACCAAUAUCUUUCU